RNAcentral lists this ribosomal RNA (492 nucleotides) under uncultured bacterium. Its description in RNAcentral is "partial 16S ribosomal RNA". It matches the Rfam family "Bacterial small subunit ribosomal RNA", at positions 29 to 507 of the family's 1533-position model. The record is from RNAcentral.
AGUGAACGCUGGCGGUAGGCCUAACACAUGCAAGUCGAACGGCAGCACAGUAAGAGCUUGCUCUUACGGGUGGCGAGUGGCGGACGGGUGAGGAAUACAUCGGAAUCUACUUUUUCGUGGGGGAUAACGUAGGGAAACUUACGCUAAUACCGCAUACGACCUACGGGUGAAAGCAGGGGAUCUUCGGACCUUGCGCGAUUGAAUGCGCCGAUGUCGGAUUAGCUAGUUGGCGGGGUAAAGGCCCACCAAGGCGACGAUCCGUAGCUGGUCUGAGAGGAUGAUCAGCCACACUGGAACUGAGACACGGUCCAGACUCCUACGGGAGGCAGCAGUGGGGAAUAUUGGACAAUGGGCGCAAGCCUGAUCCAGCCAUACCGCGUGGGUGAAGAAGGCCUUCGGGUUGUAAAGCCCUUUUAUUGGGAAAGAAAAGCAGCAGGUUAAUACCCCGCUGUUCUGACGGUACCCAAAGAAUAAGCACCGGCUAACUUCGUG